UAGUCCACGCCGUAAACGAUGAUCACUAAGUGUGGGGGGUCGAACCUCCGUGCUCAAGCUAACGCGAUAAGUGAUCCGCCUGGGGAGUACGCACGCAAGUGUGAAACUCAAAGGAAUUGAUGGGGACCCGCACAAGCGGUGGAGCAUGUGGUUUAAUUCGACGCAACGCGAGGAACCUUACCAGCCCUUGACAUCCUCAGAACUUAGCAGAGAUGCUUUGGUGCCACUUCGGUGGAACUGAGUGACAGGUGGUGCAUGGCUGUCGUCAGCUCGUGUCGUGAGAUGUUGGGUUAAGUCCCGCAACGAGCGCAACCCUUGUCUUUAGUUGCCAUCAUUUAGUUGGGCACUCUAGAGAAACUGCCGGUGACAAACCGGAGGAAGGUAAGGAUGACGUCAAGUCAGCAUGCCCCUUACGCUCUGGGCUACACACGUGCUACAAUGGUCGUGACAAAGAGUUGCUAGUCUGCGAAGGCAAGCCAAUCUCAUAAACGC
This 492-nucleotide ribosomal RNA is filed under the name uncultured bacterium. Its description in RNAcentral is "bacterial SSU rRNA". It matches the Rfam family "Bacterial small subunit ribosomal RNA", at positions 791 to 1283 of the family's 1533-position model. The record is from RNAcentral.